Molecule: long non-coding RNA, 770 nt
Filed under: Equus caballus (horse)
Lineage: Eukaryota; Metazoa; Chordata; Mammalia; Perissodactyla; Equidae
Description: lncRNA (ENSECAG00000053254.1)
Source: RNAcentral
GAAGAACUAGAGUGAAGGACUGACCAGUUGGCAAAAUCUCCAGCAGAUUAAUGGAGACCAUCUGGAUGGAGGCGCUGCACUUAGGGGCCCGGUGGCGAGGGCCGGGCUCCCCAAAGGCCUGUGCCGUGCUGCCUUGCCCCCAGAGAAGACAGCAGUUCUGGCUGGAGUUCUAGUGUCCGAGAGCUGAGAGAGGGUGUGGUCUCGACCCGAGCGAGCACCCCUGCAGUUCCAGAUAUGGAAAGUCUGCUCACCACUGGCGGUUCUGGCCCAGAGGCACACAGCCCAUUACUCUCGAGCCAUGGCAGAAGCCAGAAUUCUGCUGCUGGAGGGAAGCAGGUGAAUUGAGAAGAGGAGAUCCGAGGAGACGUGUCGGGGAGUUGCCAGUGGUUCUUCUGGGCUCUCUCAAGGGGUUUAGACUGAGGCUGAUGGCACAAGCUCUUUAAAUGUCUGAUUUUGGUUAAAAAUGCAAGCAUUCCUUCUAUAGCACUUUAUCUUUUCCUUGGCUAGCACUGACCUAAGUUCUUCUCUCCUAACAGCCAUUGUAACCGUUUGGGUUUAAAAGGAAAGUGGAGAGGGAGAGAGAAGAAAGGAAAAUAGGAGACAAGAGGCAAGAAGGAGCCCAGCCUCACAAACUGGUGACCCUCAGGCAUGUUUUGUUGGGGCUUUGCCAUGCUGGCUCACACAGCAAUUAUUUUUAUAUUUUUAAAAAUUCUAUUGUAUUUUUCCAUCUUUACUGAGUAUAAUUGACAAAUAAAAAUUGUAUAUAUUAA